RNAcentral lists this ribosomal RNA (405 nucleotides) under uncultured bacterium. RNAcentral describes it as "partial 16S ribosomal RNA". It matches the Rfam family "Bacterial small subunit ribosomal RNA", at positions 28 to 526 of the family's 1533-position model. The record is from RNAcentral.
GACGAACGCUGGCGGCGUGCUUAACACAUGCAAGUCGAGCGGAGCGGCGAACGGGUGAGUAAAGCGUGAGUAACUGCACCCUUCCUUGGGAUAACAGUUGGAAACGGCAGCCAAUACCGGAUAGUGGGAGAUGGCUCGCGUCCAAUCAGCUUGUUGGUGGGGUAGUGGCCUACCACGGCGACGACGGGUAGCCGGCCUGAGAGGGCGACCAGCCACCAUAGGCUGAGAGACGGCCCAAACUCGUACAGUGGGCAGCGGUGGAGAGUAUGGCACAGUUGGGGAGAGCCUGAUGCAACAGCGCCGGGUUCGUAAUGACGGUCUUCGGGUUGUGAACCGCUUUCAGCCAUGACGCGGUAGUGGCAGAAGAAGCACCGGCUAACUACGUGCCAGCAGCCGCGGUAAUUC